This 108-nucleotide small nuclear RNA is filed under the name Saimiri boliviensis boliviensis (Bolivian squirrel monkey). Lineage: Eukaryota; Metazoa; Chordata; Mammalia; Primates; Cebidae. The record is from RNAcentral.
GUGCUCACUUCAGCAGCACAUAAAACUAAAAUUGGAAUGAUACAGAGAAGAUUAGCAUGGCUCCUGUGCAAGGAUGACACACAAAUUCAUGAAGCGUUCCAUAUUUUU